UUGAACGCUGGCGGCAGGCCUAACACAUGCAAGUCGAGCGGAUGAAGGGAGCUUGCUCCUGGCUUCAGCGGCGGACGGGUGAGUAAUGCCUAGGAAUCUGCCUGGUAGUGGGGGAUAACGUCCGGAAACGGGCGCUAAUACCGCAUACGUCCUGAGGGAGAAAGUGGGGGAUCUUCGGACCUCACGCUAUCAGAUGAGCCUAGGUCGGAUUAGCUAGUUGGUGGGGUAAAGGCCUACCAAGGCGACGAUCCGUAACUGGUCUGAGAGGAUGAUCAGUCACACUGGAACUGAGACACGGUCCAGACUCCUACGGGAGGCAGCAGUGGGGAAUAUUGGACAAUGGGCGAAAGCCUGAUCCAGCCAUGCCGCGUGUGUGAAGAAGGUCUUCGGAUUGUAAAGCACUUUAAGUUGGGUGGAAGGGCAGUAAGUUAAUACCUUGCUGUUUUGACGUUACCAACAGAAUAAGCACCGGCUAACUUCGUG
This 483-nucleotide ribosomal RNA is filed under the name uncultured bacterium. RNAcentral describes it as "partial 16S ribosomal RNA". It matches the Rfam family "Bacterial small subunit ribosomal RNA", at positions 30 to 507 of the family's 1533-position model. The record is from RNAcentral.